UGGUUUUACAAGUGACGAGCGCAAAUGAUGUGCAAUAAUCUUAGAACGUUGGAGACUAUGAUUUAGCCUGUGUCAACCCAAACAACUUGCAUGUCCAUGACAGCAUGAGCCCUGUUUGGAGGGAAAAAUCUUUAGCCUACGUGGACACGUCUGACCACUUCUAUUGGGUGACACAUCAGACGAGCGGUUCGGGAGCAAGGUUCACUUGACGAGGAGGCUGAGUUACGAGUAGGGACUAGAGCAUCUCCAACCGGCUCGCACAAUAAGUUGGGCUGGACAAUUGGCGUCGACUUGAUUGAGAGCGCGUGCAUAGCCCAGGAAGAUUUGAAUGGUUAUGUAAAAUAUAAGGGGUUGGUGAGAUUUUGCCCUGGACCUGCUUCUGCGGGAGAGAUGACCAAUGGCAAUGUCUGGGACUACUGCUGAACCAUGAGGUGGGAAGGCCACUGGGCUGUCAGAGAAGGCGGACAAUUGGCUGUUCCUCACACAGGCAGGUUUAAGCACAGGCGAGAGAGGAGUCAUCUGCCAUCAGACAGACUGAAAGAAAGACCGUAACGACGGAUCAGCUCGUGUGUUAUUUAGGAUCCCUGCAGAUCGUAGAGGUGGCCAAUCUACUUGGGUUCCCCUUUUCUGUUGUCUCUCGUGGAGGGAGAGAGAACAUCAGCUUACACAUCCAUUGAGAUGCAGUCUGCAGAUGGAGACGUUCCAGAAAACAACUAUUUAUUAUCAGCCUCCACACACCUGUUGAACAUGCACAGAAACCUCAAAACAUGCACUCCCAUUGUUUAAACCGAGGGUUUUUAUUUUUGCUUUGUGAUUUAAAUGUGUAUUUUGUGAAUUCUUAAGAAUCUGUAUAGUGCAACAUCAUUCUGUUAUUCUGAUUUGUAAAAGUCUGUCUUCAGGAUUCAGGAUUUACAAUGAACUGGUAUGUCAAAAUGGAUCCUGCAGAUCAUUUCAUCUCUAUCAACAUUUAUUAAAUUAAUUAAAAUGAUAAACCAUAAAGGGAAUAUGUCCACUGUAAGAACCACUUACACCACUGUACAUUUUCUAAAUGAACGGAAUAAAAAAUAUUCACUAAGA
Long non-coding RNA from Esox lucius (northern pike), 1077 nucleotides. RefSeq lists it as uncharacterized. The record is from RefSeq and is a predicted model, not a curated record. NCBI's taxonomy places the organism in Eukaryota, Metazoa, Chordata, Actinopteri, Esociformes, Esocidae. The transcript has 4 exons.